AGAGUUUGAUCAUGGCUCAGGAUGAACGCUGGCGGUCUGCUUAACACAUGCAAGCCGAACGGAGUCCUUCGGGACUUAGUGGCGGACGGGUGAGUAACGCGUGAGAAUCUGCCUUCAGGUUGGGGACAACAGUUGGAAACGACUGCUAAUACCCAAUGUGCCGAGAGGUGAAAGCUUUAGUGCCUGAGGAUGAGCUCGCGUCUGAUUAGCUAGUUGGAGUGGUAAUGGCACACCAAGGCGACGAUCAGUAGCUGGUCUGAGAGGAUGAUCAGCCACACUGGGACUGAGACACGGCCCAGACUCCUACGGGAGGCAGCAGUGGGGAAUUUUCCGCAAUGGGCGCAAGCCUGACGGAGCAAGACCGCGUGAGGGAGGAAGGCUCUUGGGUUGUAAACCUCUUUUAUCAGGGAAGAAGAUCUGACGGUACCUGAUGAAUCAGCAUCGGCUAACUCCGUGCCAGCAGCCGCGGUAAUACGGAGGAUGCAAGCGUUAUCCGGAUUUAUUGGGCGUAAAGCGUCCGCAGGUGGUUUUACAAGUCUGCUGUUAAAGCGCGAGGCUUAACCUCGUACAGGCAGUGGAAACUGUGAGACUAGAGUAUGGUAGGGGUAGCGGGAAUUCCCAGUGUAGCGGUGAAAUGCGUAGAUAUUGGGAAGAACACCAGCGGCGAAAGCGCGCUACUGGGCCAUUACUGACACUCAUGGACGAAAGCUAGGGGAGCGAAAGGGAUUAGAUACCCCAGUAGUCC
RNAcentral lists this ribosomal RNA (745 nucleotides) under uncultured cyanobacterium. RNAcentral's name for it is "bacterial SSU rRNA". It matches the Rfam family "Bacterial small subunit ribosomal RNA", at positions 8 to 796 of the family's 1533-position model. Lineage: Bacteria; Bacillati; Cyanobacteriota. The record is from RNAcentral.